RNAcentral lists this ribosomal RNA (266 nucleotides) under uncultured bacterium. RNAcentral's name for it is "partial 16S ribosomal RNA". It matches the Rfam family "Bacterial small subunit ribosomal RNA", at positions 524 to 776 of the family's 1533-position model. The record is from RNAcentral.
UACGUAGGGGGCGAGCGUUGUCCGAAGUUACUGGGCGUAAAGAGUACGUAGGUGGCUUGUUAAGAUACAUCUGAAAGGUGACAGCUCAACUGUCAAUGGUGGUGUAAGACUGGCAGGCUUGAGGCAAGCAGAAGAGUGUGGAACUCCGAGUGUAGCGGUGGAAUGCGUAGAGAUUCGGAAGAACCCCCAUGGCGAAGGCAGCACUCUGGGCUUGAGCCGCAAGGUUAACCUGACACUGAGGUACGAAAGCCAGGGGAGCGAACGGG